This 73-nucleotide transfer RNA is filed under the name Felis catus (domestic cat). It matches the Rfam family "tRNA". Rfam says of the family: Transfer RNA (tRNA) molecules are approximately 80 nucleotides in length. Their secondary structure includes four short double-helical elements and three loops (D, anti-codon, and T loops). Further hydrogen bonds mediate the characteristic L-shaped molecular structure. tRNAs have two regions of fundamental functional importance: the anti-codon, which is responsible for specific mRNA codon recognition, and the 3' end, to which the tRNAs corresponding amino acid is attached (by aminoacyl-tRNA synthetases). tRNAs cope with the degeneracy of the genetic code in two manners: having more than one tRNA (with a specific anti-codon) for a particular amino acid; and 'wobble' base-pairing, i.e. permitting non-standard base-pairing at the 3rd anti-codon position. Lineage: Eukaryota; Metazoa; Chordata; Mammalia; Carnivora; Felidae. The record is from Rfam by way of RNAcentral.
ACCUGGCUAGCUCUGUUGAUAGAACAUGAGACUCUUGAUCUCAGGGUUGUGAGUUCAAGCCCCACAUUGGGUG